RNAcentral lists this ribosomal RNA (464 nucleotides) under uncultured Klebsiella sp. Its description in RNAcentral is "bacterial SSU rRNA". It matches the Rfam family "Bacterial small subunit ribosomal RNA", at positions 338 to 795 of the family's 1533-position model. The record is from RNAcentral. Lineage: Bacteria; Pseudomonadati; Pseudomonadota; Gammaproteobacteria; Enterobacterales; Enterobacteriaceae.
CCUACGGGUGGCAGCAGUGGGGAAUAUUGCACAAUGGGCGCAAGCCUGAUGCAGCCAUGCCGCGUGUGUGAAGAAGGCCUUCGGGUUGUAAAGCACUUUCAGCGGGGAGGAAGGCGUUAAGGUUAAUAACCUUGGCGAUUGACGUUACCCGCAGAAGAAGCACCGGCUAACUCCGUGCCAGCAGCCGCGGUAAUACGGAGGGUGCAAGCGUUAAUCGGAAUUACUGGGCGUAAAGCGCACGCAGGCGGUCGGUCAAGUCGGAUGUGAAAUCCCCGGGCUCAACCUGGGAACUGCAUUCGAAACUGGCAGGCUAGAGUCUGGUAGAGGGGGGUAGAAUUCCAGGUGUAGGGGGGAAAUGCGUAGAGAUCUGGAGGAAUACCGGUGGCGAAGGCGGCCCCCUGGACAAAGACUGACGCGCAGGUGCGAAAGCGUGGGGAGCAAACAGGAUUAAUACCCGGGUAGUC